GUGAUUGAGGAAGAUCACAGAUUUCUCAUUGUUUUUCUCAUCUUCUUUUCUUUUUCUGAAUCCUUCCCAUAUUCAUCCAAAGGCAUGCUCAUCCACUUUCUGUAGAGGGUUUAGGGUCGAAUCACCAUCGCUCUCUAUUUUCUCUUCUUCUUCGAUAGUUCCGUCACUCUCUUCUUAUGGAUUGUUGGUCCCUUUCUCUCCCUCUCGACAACGAGUUCAAGAAGCUCGUCAAUCGUAUGAACCCUCACAGGGUUACCAUUGAUAA
This is a long non-coding RNA of Cucumis melo (muskmelon), 265 nucleotides long. RefSeq lists it as uncharacterized. The transcript has 3 exons. The record is from RefSeq and is a predicted model, not a curated record. NCBI's taxonomy places the organism in Eukaryota, Viridiplantae, Streptophyta, Magnoliopsida, Cucurbitales, Cucurbitaceae.